GUGAUACAUUCACCAAGUCCUUUUGACUUUAGGAUAAUCUUAGUAUCCAUUGCCCAUUUUAAAUAAUUAUCUCCUCAGAUAUUUAGGGCAGUAAAAUACAAGUUGUAAUUCGACAUCUACAAGCAAAAAGGGUUUUGAGUCAAGAUCAUGUAAUCGUUAAUGUCAUGCGGUAUUUAAGACCGAAUCAUGAAUCGAUUUACUUAAAGAUUUGACUUUCCUCUUAGGAUUAAAUUUCCUCUUUUAGGGAUUUCCGAUUUCGAUUAGGUUUUAGGUUUUCCUAUAUUGAUUAGGAUUUAUGAUUUCCUAUUUUAAUUUAGGGUUUAGAUAUUUUCUAUUUUGAAUAGAAUUAAGGAUUUUCCUAUUUACAAUA
Molecule: long non-coding RNA, 370 nt
Filed under: Arabidopsis lyrata
Lineage: Eukaryota; Viridiplantae; Streptophyta; Magnoliopsida; Brassicales; Brassicaceae
Description: long non-coding RNA (ALYR_LNC001729)
Source: RNAcentral